UACAUAGGGUGCAAGCGUUAAUCGGAAUUACUGGGCGUAAAGCGUGCGCAGGCGGCUUUGCAAGACAGAUGUGAAAUCCCCGGGCUCAACCUGGGAACUGCAUUUGUGACUGCAUCGCUGGAGUGCGGCAGAGGGGGAUGGAAUUGCGCGUGUAGCAGUGAAAUGCGUAGAUAUGCGGAGGAACACCGAUGGCGAAGGCAAUCCCCUGGGCCUGCACUGACGCUCAUGCACGAAAGCGUGGGGAGCAAACAGG
This 253-nucleotide ribosomal RNA is filed under the name uncultured bacterium. RNAcentral describes it as "partial 16S ribosomal RNA". It matches the Rfam family "Bacterial small subunit ribosomal RNA", at positions 524 to 776 of the family's 1533-position model. The record is from RNAcentral.